Long non-coding RNA from Vigna unguiculata (cowpea), 792 nucleotides. NCBI's taxonomy places the organism in Eukaryota, Viridiplantae, Streptophyta, Magnoliopsida, Fabales, Fabaceae. The record is from RefSeq and is a predicted model, not a curated record.
GGUAAAGUAAAACAAUUUUUCCAUUUCUUAAAUUUCACUUCCCCCUGCCGAGCAAAGGAAUUGUGGUUGGAGCUGCCAUCAAUCCUCCAUGCACGGUACUGCUCUUGAGCUUCGAAUUUAAAAUAUCACAAAUUUUGUAAGAAUCUCUGAAAAGCCCUUUGUGAUUGCGUUUGUAAGUUCAAAAUGGUAACUAUUUGAGAAACCCUAUAAUAUGGGUUGAAGGUCUUCCGAAUCGGGUUCAAGUUUCUCGUUCUGAAGAGGCGAGGAGUCAAGUGUGGUCAAGCUCAAGGUUUUGCAAAUUUUAUUUUUCCUAGCCGAACAAAUGAAUCGUGCCCCCCUUGAACACGAAUAAAAACUUUACACAAAGGAGAUGUUUCAGCUGCUUCUUUCUGUUUAUAUCUAGGAAUGAAAGAUGAUGAUGCUACAAAUUGUAAGAAAUUUUCACUCUCCUAGAAGCUUUUGAAUUGGAUAUUGGUUAUAUUUUGUACUUGGACUGUUUACGCUCUUCCCUUCUUAUUAUUGACAUGUUUCUUGUAUUAUUUGGAUGAACUACAACAAGCCUGGACUAUUGCCCUGCCUCUUAGAUGCUUAUUGUAAAGAAGCAACCUGUUGUGACAUAGCAGAAACUUAAUCAUAGUAAAUUGUAGCUAUUGACAGAAUAUGUCUUCCAUCUUGAGCAUUGAAGCUUUCAGUUAUGAAGAAUUAGAUGUUUUACUGUAUAUGAAAUUCUUCUCAACAAUCAAACAUUCUAUGUUCUUGAAAGUAAAUGUAUAUUGAUAAUUUUGUAGCCAA